AGUGAACGCUGGCGGUAGGCCUAACACAUGCAAGUCGAACGGCAGCACAGUAAGAGCUUGCUCUUACGGGUGGAGAGUGGCGGACGGGUGAGGAAUACAUCGGAAUAUACUUUUUCGUGGGGGAUAACGCAGGGAAACUUACGCUAAUACCGCAUACGACCUACGGGUGAAAGCAGGGGUCCUUCGGACUUGGCGGGAGUGGAUGUGCCGGUGUCGGAUUAGGUAGUUGGGGGGGUAAAGGCCCACCAAGAGGGGGAUCCGUAGCUGGACAGAGAGGGUGAUUCGCCACACUGUCACUGAGACACGGCCCACACUCCUACGCGAGGCAGCAGCGGGGACUAUUGCGCAAGGGACCAAAGCCUAAUCCUGCCCUAUCGCGUGAGUCAAGAAGGCCUUCUGGUUGUAAAGCCCUUUUGUUGGGAAAAAAGAGCAGCAGUUUCAUCCCCCGCUGUUCUGACGGUACCCAAAGAAUAAGCCCCGGCUAACUUCGUG
Molecule: ribosomal RNA, 492 nt
Filed under: uncultured bacterium
Lineage: Bacteria
Description: partial 16S ribosomal RNA
Rfam family: Bacterial small subunit ribosomal RNA
Source: RNAcentral